RNAcentral lists this ribosomal RNA (429 nucleotides) under uncultured bacterium. RNAcentral's name for it is "bacterial SSU rRNA". It matches the Rfam family "Bacterial small subunit ribosomal RNA", at positions 355 to 775 of the family's 1533-position model. The record is from RNAcentral.
UGGGGAAUAUUGGGCAAUGGGCGAAAGCCUGACCCAGCGACGCCGCGUGGGUGAUGAAGGCCUUCGGGUUGUAAAGCCCUGUCAUGCGGAAAGAACGACCCUGAGACGCAUACUCUCAGGGAGUGACGGUACCGCAGGAGGGAGCACCGGCUAACUCCGUGCCAGCAGCCGCGGUAAUACGGAGGGUGCAAGCGUUGUUCGGAAUUAUUGGGCGUAAAGGGCGCGUAGGCGGUAAUGUAAGUCAGAUGUGAAAUACUCCGGCUCAACCAGAGAACAGCAUCUGAAACUGCAUAACUAGAGUACAGAAGAGGGAAACGGAAUUCCCGGUGUAGAGGUGAAACUCGUAGAUAUCGGGAGGAACACCAGUGGCGAAGGCGGUUUCCUGGUCUGAUACUGACGCUGAGGCGCGAAAGCGUGUGGAGCAAACAG